AGUCACAUUGAAACCGAAAACUGGACGCUGAAAUUUUUUUCUUCUCCUAUUCUGCUUGUGGGAAAAGAAAUAUGUGUAAUAAAACGCUGAGCCCUGAAGGCUAGUGGUCAAAUACUAAACGCAGAAGGGCGAAGUCCUUGAGCAGGAAACGGCAAGGGUUCGUUAAACUUUCAACGCCAGCUAAGCCCGAUACGAGUCCUGAUUCCAGUCUCCCUUUUCUGCUUAGCUUCUAGAAGGCGUAUGGCGAUGGAAGGGAGGCCAGCUCGUGCGUUGCUUUCUGGCUACGCACAUAAUAUCGACGCACUUUUUAAAAGUCUCUGGUUCCACCAUUUGUAUUUGGUGCGUCACUCCUGCCAGCUUAUGGGUAUCGUCUGGCGGUGAGGCGCAGAAAAAAGGAAAUGUGAAAAGAAAAAAACGUAAAAAAAACUGCCUGAAGCAACCACCACAUACAACAUCAGCAUCAAAUGGAGUGCAGAGGGGAAGGCUUUAAAGUGGUAUAAUGUGGUAGCAACCCAGUCAAAGACCUAAACAAAAGAAACCCCAGACGAAAUCUCGCCUUUUGCCCAUGUGCGUGUGCGCUCCACUCGUCCCCCCAAGAGAUUUGUCUAAAGCUCCUUGGACUUCCUGGUGCGUAACGCGAUAGCCUGGCGCACUUCAAUCAAUUCAAAUUCCUUGAGCUUGUCUUGGCCCCAGCGCUCACAUUUUAAUUGCCCGGCGGGCGGAGGUAGCUUAACCCAUAAAUUAUAAACAUUUGCCU
This is a non-coding RNA of Drosophila melanogaster (fruit fly), 757 nucleotides long. NCBI's taxonomy places the organism in Eukaryota, Metazoa, Arthropoda, Insecta, Diptera, Drosophilidae. The record is from Ensembl.